GACGUAGGAGGCGAGCGUUGUCCGGAAUCAUUGGGCGUAAAGAGCGUGUAGGCGGUUCGGUAAGUCGGCUGUGAAAGUCCAGGGCUCAACCCUGGGAUGCCGGUCGAUACUGCCGGACUAGAGUUCGGAAGAGGCGAGUGGAAUUCCCGGUGUAGCGGUGAAAUGCGCAGAUAUCGGGAGGAACACCUAUGGCGAAGGCAGCUCGCUGGGACGUUACUGACGCUGAGACGCGAAAGCGUGGGGAGCAAACAGG
This 253-nucleotide ribosomal RNA is filed under the name uncultured bacterium. RNAcentral's name for it is "partial 16S ribosomal RNA". It matches the Rfam family "Bacterial small subunit ribosomal RNA", at positions 524 to 776 of the family's 1533-position model. The record is from RNAcentral.